Macaca mulatta (Rhesus monkey) is the source of this 1121-nucleotide non-coding RNA. Lineage: Eukaryota; Metazoa; Chordata; Mammalia; Primates; Cercopithecidae. The record is from RefSeq and is a predicted model, not a curated record.
ACAUGGGGAUUCUGGGAUGUAGAAUUCAAGUUGAGAUUUGGGUGGGGACACAGCCAAACCAUAUCCAUAGCCAACACAGUCCUGGCCCAUGGCUGGUGUCGAGCUGAGCUGCGACCGUGGCUGUGUGAGUUUUGGGUGCGAGGCGUGCACACGCCUCUCAGCGGUACAGUGAAAGGAUUUGGAGGCUCAAACGUGUGACCUAAAAGAAUCUCCAAAGAUCAAGGUCCAUUCACCCUAAAAAGAAAAAUCUCAGCGCAGUUUAGAGCCAGUGUUUGCUUUUGGAUAUGGAUUCUACAGUCAUAAAAUGAAUAAAUAAAAGUCUGUAAAUAAAUUUUAAUGUCUUUACUGGAAUUGUAAACACUGAUUUUCUUUCCUCACCCACCCAUCUGUUGGUGAGUAUCAGAUGGAUGAACCGUGCUGCGGGGACAGAGAGGAGGGUGCAGCUUGGCCUCUGGGACCUCAGCUGAGCACUGAGUGAGCUGUCUCCGUUUCAGACAUCCACACGGAAGUUGUCCAGGCGGCUCUGGCCAAACCCAAAGAGCAGAAGAUGGCCGGUGCCUAUGCCUUCCAAACGCAGGUCCCUGGUCGUGCAGACCUCCAUGGACGCCUACACCCCUCCAGGUAAAAAGCUGAGCAAACUGAAAAAUCAGCAGUUCUUCUUAAACCUGCACGAGACCUGAGGUCACAGGCAAGCCACUGUCCGUAGAUUGGCUGGACAGGUAAAGCAGAUGAAUCACCAUACACUGGAGCACAAUGCUCCAAGGAACCCACACUGGGAUUGGAAAACCUGAACUGGAAUUGACAAAUUGCUGCAGUGAGGUGCGGCCACGUCUGAGAGUUAAAACCUCCAGGAGGCCUGUGCAUAUGGGUCUCAUGCUUUUGUGAGUUGUAUCAUCAGAAGCUCAACCAGGUUCGUGAAGUAAACAUCACAGAAAAAUCCCUUCAUACUUACUACAGGGGAAAGAGAAUAGGAAUCAUUUUUCAAUAUGCAGGUGCACUCUUCACUAGGUCUACCUUCCAGAGAAGCUAGUUAACUAGAGACUCACCUGGUGGGAUUUUAUCAGAGCCUUCUGACCUGGGGGAAAGGGAAAUACCCAAUUCCAACCUCUAGAACUGAAAAG